UACGUAGGGGGCAAGCGUUGUCCGGAUUUAUUGGGCGUAAAGAGCGUGUAGGCGGUUAUACAGGUCCGCUGUGAAAACUGGAGGCUUAACCUCCAGACGUCGGUGGAAACCGUAUGACUAGAGUCCGGAAGAGGAGAGUGGAAUUCCCGGUGUAGCGGUGAAAUGCGCAGAUAUCGGGAAGAACACCCGUGGCGAAGGCGGCUCUCUGGGACGGUACUGACGCUGAGACGCGAAAGCGUGGGGAGCGAACAGG
Molecule: ribosomal RNA, 253 nt
Filed under: uncultured bacterium
Lineage: Bacteria
Description: partial 16S ribosomal RNA
Rfam family: Bacterial small subunit ribosomal RNA
Source: RNAcentral